This 976-nucleotide long non-coding RNA is filed under the name Malus domestica (apple). Its description in RNAcentral is "long non-coding RNA (MDOM_LNC009683)". The record is from RNAcentral. Lineage: Eukaryota; Viridiplantae; Streptophyta; Magnoliopsida; Rosales; Rosaceae.
AUAUGUUAAUAAACAUUGAAAAUAUCAAAAUCAUAAUAUUGAAUUCUCAUUUCAAAUAACAAAACAUGCAUGAUGAGAUUUUAGGCUAAAAUCUCGCUUCGGAACGUUCAUUAAAAUACAAGUAUGCACGUAAUGAAUUUGUUUUAGUUGAAGCCAUUUUGUUAGAGUCAUACCAUCAUUUUUAUAAAUAAAAAAUUCAAUAAAAAAAACUUGAAAGUAUUUCUUAAAAGCGCUUUCAAGUUUUUCUAUCACAAAACCGAAAUAGUAUUUUUUGGGUCGAAUAAUUUGGAUCUAUUUAUAAUGGACUCAAUGACUCAUGGUGAAAGUGUGGCAAUUGGAGGACCCAUUGGCAUGUGAUGAUGCGACUCUCCAACACUUGUUCCACCUUUAAUUAUAUUUAAAUAUUCAAUCCAAUUUUCUCCGGAUGCAAGAGUUUUGUCAACAAAUUCAAAGAAGUUCGGUUUUGAAAUUGGUCACCAACAAAGUAGAAUCUUUUGUUCGAUUCGUCUCUAAAAAGUAAAAGAUGCAUAACAUAACAUGGUAGGUUCAGUUAUGAACAUUGUCAAUCUGCUUUUCUCUUGAUUUAAGGGAUUGCCCUCAAAUUGCGGAUACCUACUUUUGACUGCACCCUAAAAGCCAUUGGGUAUAAACCAUUCUUACUUGGGUUUUUCUACUUUCUUCAAACGAAUAACAUAAACUUUAUAAAGAAAAAAGAAUAUAUGACUCUUUUUUUGUUAACUAAAAUACUACUCUUCAGGAAUCCGUUUUUGUUCACCCCUAACCCAAGAAUUCUUUUCUAAUAAUUAAAAAAAUUGGUCUUAACCAAAGUUAUUGUGAUUUCUACGUGACAUUCUUUGAAUAGAAUAAUGAGCAUAUCCUAAAGUUAAUGAUGCUGAGUAAAAAUGCUUUUAAAUAUUUUAUGAAAACAAAAAACAAUUGAACGAAUUAAAAUACAACGUACCAUUUAUUUAUCCUA